CCGCAUUCUUCAAAACCCCCCAGUAGCUGCCUGUAUAGCUGCAGGGACAAGGAGGAAUGCCACAGAAAUCCUGGAGUAAAGCAAAGCUGGGUGUGUCAUCUCUAACUCUCAGCCAUUUCAGCUCCUGGACAUUC
Molecule: small nucleolar RNA, 134 nt
Organism: Conger conger (European conger)
Lineage: Eukaryota; Metazoa; Chordata; Actinopteri; Anguilliformes; Congridae
Product: small nucleolar RNA SNORA14
Exons: 1
Source: RefSeq, a predicted model, not a curated record